UACGUAGGUCCCGAGCGUUGUCCGGAUUUAUUGGGCGUAAAGCGAGCGCAGGUGGUUUAAUAAGUCUGAUGUAAAAGGCAGUGGCUCUACCAUUGUGUGCAUUGGAAACUGUUAGACUUGAGUGCAGUAGAGGAGAGUGGAAUUCCAUGUGUAGCGGUGAAAUGCGUAGAUAUAUGGAGGAACACCGGUGGCGAAAGCGGCUCUCUGGACUGUAACUGACACUGAGGCUCGAAAGCGUGGGUAGCAAACAGG
RNAcentral lists this ribosomal RNA (252 nucleotides) under uncultured microorganism. RNAcentral describes it as "partial 16S ribosomal RNA". It matches the Rfam family "Bacterial small subunit ribosomal RNA", at positions 524 to 776 of the family's 1533-position model. The record is from RNAcentral.